RNAcentral lists this ribosomal RNA (490 nucleotides) under uncultured bacterium. RNAcentral's name for it is "bacterial SSU rRNA". It matches the Rfam family "Bacterial small subunit ribosomal RNA", at positions 28 to 506 of the family's 1533-position model. The record is from RNAcentral.
GAUGAACGCUAGCUACAGGCUUAACACAUGCAAGUCGAGGGAACGAUAGAGAAAGCUUGCUUUUUCUUAGGCGUCGACCGGCGCACGGGUGAGUAACGCGUAUCCAACCUGCCCAUCACUUGGGGAUAACCUUGCGAAAGUAAGACUAAUACCCAAUGACGUCUCUAGAAGACAUCUGAAGGAGAUUAAAGAUUUAUCGGUGAUGGAUGGGGAUGCGUCUGAUUAGCUUGUUGGCGGGGUAACGGCCCACCAAGGCGACGAUCAGUAGGGGUUCUGAGAGGAAGGCCCCCCACAUUGGAACUGAGACACGGUCCAAACUCCUACGGGAGGCAGCAGUGAGGAAUAUUGGUCAAUGGACGAGAGUCUGAACCAGCCAAGUAGCGUGCAGGAUGACGGCCCUAUGGGUUGUAAACUGCUUUUAUAAGGGAAUAAAGUGAGUCUCGUGAGACUUUUUGCAUGUACCUUAUGAAUAAGGACCGGCUAAUUCCGU